Molecule: transfer RNA, 73 nt
Filed under: Arthrospira sp. PCC 9901
Lineage: Bacteria; Bacillati; Cyanobacteriota; Cyanophyceae; Oscillatoriales; Sirenicapillariaceae
Also listed under: 1 other name
Description: tRNA-Ala
Rfam family: tRNA
About the family: Transfer RNA (tRNA) molecules are approximately 80 nucleotides in length. Their secondary structure includes four short double-helical elements and three loops (D, anti-codon, and T loops).
Source: RNAcentral
GGGGUUAUAGCUCAGUUGGUAGAGCACUGCAAUGGCAUUGCAGGGGUCAGCGGUUCGAGCCCGCUUAGCUCCA